CUUUGUUCUGUGUUAUUGAAACCUCCAAUCUCUCCUGACCAUACUUUGUGAAUCCAUGACUGUGUCACUUUUCUCCAUUUCAACUCAACUACGGCUACCAACCAGAUUCGUUACCUGGUCUACCUAUAACCACCCCUGUACCAGAGGCAAUUGAAUGAUUGCAGUUUAUCACAUAGGGGUUUGAACCUGCACAAAAAAAUUUGAACAGUUAACAAUUGUAUAAACGGCAUGCUGGUCGCAAAAGGGGGCCUACUCCAUCCUAGGUUGGUCAAUCCAUUUGGUUGUUGUGACGAGACCAAUCUCGCUACUGUGCAUUGGAGGAGCCUGGUUGCCCGCCUGCUGCCUUUAGACUAUGGCCCCAUGUUGAAACGCUUGAUUUUCCCCUGCGAUGACACGAAAGCCGGGUCAUUCCGUGCUGGCCGUGUUUGAGCGGUGAUACCCCAGAUAGCUAUGCCAU
Non-coding RNA from Pelobates cultripes (western spadefoot toad), 457 nucleotides. Lineage: Eukaryota; Metazoa; Chordata; Amphibia; Anura; Pelobatidae. The record is from the annotation of a GenBank genome assembly.